GACGAACGCUGGCGGCGUGCUUAACACAUGCAAGUCGAACGGAAAGGCCCUGCUUUUGUGGUGUGCUCGAGUGGCGAACGGGUGAGUAACACGUGAGUAACCUGCCCUUGACUUUGGGAUAGCUUCAGGAAACUGGGGCUACUACCGUAUAGGAGCUCCUGCUGCAUUGUGGGGGUUGGAAAUUUUCGGCGGUUGGGGAUGGACUCGCGGCUUAUCAGCUUGUUGGUGGGGUAGGGGCUUACCCAGGCUUUGACGGGUAGCCGGCCUGAGAGGGUGACCGGCGACAUUGGGACUGAGAGACGGACCAGACGCCUACGGGAGGCAGUAGUGGGGAAUAUUGCACAAUGGGCGGAAGCCUGAUGCAGAAACGCUGCGUGCGGGAAGACGGCCUUCGGGUUGUAAACCGCUUUAGGCUGAGACGAAGCGUGAGUGACGGUAAUGGGUAAAGAAGCACCGGCUAACUACGUG
This 468-nucleotide ribosomal RNA is filed under the name uncultured bacterium. RNAcentral's name for it is "partial 16S ribosomal RNA". It matches the Rfam family "Bacterial small subunit ribosomal RNA", at positions 28 to 507 of the family's 1533-position model. The record is from RNAcentral.